AAUCUUGAAAGUUAAUCGACGAUUUACAAAAUAAAAAAAGCAUACACUUAUAUCAUAAAAAAAGCCUGAAUUUUGGGCUUUGGUCCCAGGCCCAAAGGCCUAGGUCCAGAUUUGCUCGAAUGAAUCCAAACUUGGGCCUGGUUGCAAGUCUGGCCCAGUUACAACUAUAAGACAUGUUUAUAAAGAGAAAAAGAGGGCUAAUUGUGGUGACCCUGUACUAAUAAAAUCAACGAAAAAACUAAAUUUAUAAAAAAAAUAAAAAAUUAUAACAGUCCCUUUACACAGCUGAAAGUCCAUGAAUGUACAAAAUAACUAAUAGUCUAUCAUUUCAACAAUUUAUCAUGCUAAUGUCCAAGAGAAAACUAAAAAAAAAUAAUCAAAAGGAAAAUCUUUUCCCUUAAUUUCUGGUUUUCUUCUGCCUCCAGGUCCUUCAAACAGGGUGCCAACUUGCAAGGAUUUAGCUAUGGAGCUGUUCCUCACAAGUAGAUACUUCAAACUUCCAGCUUUGAGAUUGUUUGAUUUUUGGCUAUUCUCACACACACAAAAAAAAGAAUGCAGAUUUCAGUGUGAUAAAGAUUCAUUUAACUAGUAUAUCUUUGGGUAAGCAAUUUAGAAAAGAAGGAGGGAGGCUACUUCAGUAGUUAUAGGUCUAGAUUCAAACCCUUCUUGCUUUUAUUUUAGAUAAGAACUUAACUAAAUAGACUACUUUAAUACCCUAGUGAAGUGAUAUAUUAACACAUUUAGAGGAAUCAUGUUCAUUAAAGCAAACAAAUGAGCUAAUAAAGCAUUUAGAAAUUCAGUUUUGUAUUCAACCACUCCAAACAACUGGUUACAGGAGGUGCAAGAAACAUACAUAGGCGUAGAAACUAACCGAGAAAAGACCAAAUAAAGGUCAAAUGGCCAAUGUAGAAAUAUCUCAGCUAAUCAAACACACAACCACUUAGGCAAAAACCAGCCUUGACAGUGCAAAAAACCUAACACACGAGCAGCAAUAUCACAACAUCAAAACUCAAUCCAUCUUCUAGACAAGAAACCUAGGAAAUUUUAAAAGUGAAAAACUUUGGGUAUUCUUUCAGGUUAUUAGAAAUCUGGUUUUUCAGAAGUGUUAUGCAUAGAAUGAUGCUCAAAUAUCCGUGAGAGUAAGGGAAAUCGUUUCUUUAUAUAAAGUGUCCAAAAAAAAGCAUUUAGGGAUUAUUCUACCCUAAAUUCCUAGCU
This 1215-nucleotide long non-coding RNA is filed under the name Nicotiana tabacum (common tobacco). RNAcentral's name for it is "long non-coding RNA (NTAB_LNC013401)". Lineage: Eukaryota; Viridiplantae; Streptophyta; Magnoliopsida; Solanales; Solanaceae. The record is from RNAcentral.